AACUUAAAGGAAUUGACGGGGGCCCGCACAAGCGGUGGAGCAUGUGGUUCAAUUCGACGCAACGCGAAGAACCUUACCUGGGCUAGACAACAGUGGACCGUCCUAGAGAUAGGAUUUUCCCUUCGGGGACCGCUGGUUCAGGUGCUGCAUGGCUGUCGUCAGCUCGUGCCGUGAGGUGUUGGGUUAAGUCCCGCAACGAGCGCAACCCUCGUACUUAGUUGCCACCAUUCAGUUGGGCACUCUAGGUAGACUGCCGGCGUUAAGCCGGAGGAAGGUGGGGACGACGUCAAGUCAUCAUGGCCCUUAUGCCCAGGGCCACACACGUGCUACAAUGGGCGGCACAAAGGGUCGCGAACCCGCGAGGGGGAGCCAAUCCCAAAAAGCCGUUCUCAGUUCGGAUUGGAGUCUGCAACUCGACUCCAUGAAGUUGGAAUCGCUAGUAAUCGCGUAUCAGAACGACGCGGUGAAUACGUUCCCGGGCCUU
This 484-nucleotide ribosomal RNA is filed under the name uncultured delta proteobacterium. RNAcentral's name for it is "bacterial SSU rRNA". It matches the Rfam family "Bacterial small subunit ribosomal RNA", at positions 898 to 1382 of the family's 1533-position model. Lineage: Bacteria; Deltaproteobacteria. The record is from RNAcentral.